CACAUAUGAAAAGAUUGGAAUAAACUCAUAAUGUAUGAAUAAUGAUGUGGAAUAUAAAAUUUGUAUACCGAUGUGGAUUGUAUGAUCAAGUAUGAGGAUUCAAAAUACAAUCCCAAGUACUGAUAUUAUUCGUGACUGAGUUGAGGAGUGGUGGAUGUGCAUCAAUUUGUUUUUGUCUUUUUGAUCAUCGUUGAAAAUUGGCGUAAAAUUGAUGUUGAUGCUGAUGUUUCUGUAAAAUCGUUGCAUGAUUUGAGAAAUCGUGGCACAAUUUUUUGUUCAAAAUUUGGAGGAAGUUGCUGGAAAUAUCGUGGUACAAUUCUGAAAAUCGUUGCACAAAUUUGGAUAAG
This 347-nucleotide long non-coding RNA is filed under the name Medicago truncatula (barrel medic). RNAcentral's name for it is "long non-coding RNA (MTRU_LNC004799)". The record is from RNAcentral. Lineage: Eukaryota; Viridiplantae; Streptophyta; Magnoliopsida; Fabales; Fabaceae.